GCUCUGCAUGGUCUGGAUGAUGCCACUCUGGUGACAGACUGUUACCACUCCUGCCCUUUUCAGUAUCAGCAGGACCUUUCCAGGUGCCUCAUCCUGCCAGUGAAUCCGCCUGGUGAGGAAGCACAGCACCUCCUGCCACUCUACUGCACACACAUCCUGGUGUGUGCAACAAGGGAGUAAAUGAGAAAAUGGAAUAGUCUGCAGAGGUGUGAUCCUUCACACUUAGUUCAGUUCCUUAUUAACACCAUCCCUCCCCCUGUGUGCAGGCUGGGCUGAAUAUUACACACAGUGCCACUCCAACACCUGUGUCUGUGGAGGCUGGAAAAGAAGUGAUUGCUGAGAAUGGCUGCUUCUCUGGGUAUGAGACAUCCCAAGCCAGACACUUGGACUGCUUCAUACAGACAGUGGGCAGAGCACUGGCUCAGGUAAGAAAUGAGCAGUGAGCUCCUCCUGUGUCAAGUUUUGUAAGCACAGGAGAAAGGGCUUGCA
Molecule: long non-coding RNA, 489 nt
Filed under: Cyanistes caeruleus (blue tit)
Lineage: Eukaryota; Metazoa; Chordata; Aves; Passeriformes; Paridae
Description: lncRNA (ENSCCEG00000021426.1)
Source: RNAcentral